This 335-nucleotide ribosomal RNA is filed under the name uncultured Caldilineaceae bacterium. RNAcentral describes it as "bacterial SSU rRNA". It matches the Rfam family "Bacterial small subunit ribosomal RNA", at positions 1034 to 1382 of the family's 1533-position model. The record is from RNAcentral. Lineage: Bacteria; Bacillati; Chloroflexota; Caldilineae; Caldilineales; Caldilineaceae.
ACAGGUGGUGCAUGGUUGUCGUCAGCUCGUGUCGUGAGGUGUUGGGUUAAGUCCUCUAACGAGCGCAACCCUCGUUGCUAGUUAUACUUUUCUAGCGAGACUGCCGGGAUAUAACCGGAGGAAGGUGGGGAUGACGUCAAGUCAGCAUGGCCUUUAUAUCCAGGGCUACACACACGCUACAAUGGUCGGUACAGAGGGAAGCCAAGCCGCGAGGCGGAGCUAAUCUCAGAAAGCCGAUCUCAGUUCAGAUUGCAGGCUGCAACCCGCCUGCAUGAAGUUGGAGUUGCUAGUAACCGCAGGUCAGCCAUACUGCGGUGAAUACGUUCCCGGGCUUU